AUGGCUGUCGUCAGCUCGUGUCGUGAGAUGUUGGGUUAAGUCCCGCAACGAGCGCAACCCCCGCUCCCAGUUGCCAGCGCGUUAUGGCGGGGACUCUGGGAGGACUGCCGGUGCUAAACCGGAGGAAGGUGGGGACGACGUCAAGUCAUCAUGGUCCUUACGUCUAGGGCUACACACGUGCUACAAUGGCCGGUACAGCGGGUCGCAACCUCGCAGGAGUGAGCCAAUCCCAUAAAGCCGGCCUCAGUGCGGAUUGGAGGCUGCAACUCGCCUCCAUGAAGCUGGAAUCGCUAGUAAUCGUGGAUCAGCUACGCCACGGUGAAUACGUUCCCGGGCCUUGUACACACCGCCCGUCACGCCAUGGAAGCUGUGAGCGCCCGAAGUCCGUGUCGAAACCCGCAAGGGAUCAAGCGGCCGAAGGCGAGCGCAGUGACUGGGGCGAAGUCGUAACAAGGUAGCCGUAGGGGAACCUGCGGCUGGAUCACCUCCUUAACGGAAUUCGAGUAGGCAAACUGCCAAUCACGAGCGCGCAAGCGCGAGGGGUCUGCAGUUGGCCGAAAGAAUUCGUAAGUCGCUUCACCCGCACAUCACAACCCAAUUCGAUUUUCUUAGUCCGACGCCACCGCCCGCAAGGCGGUGUUGGCGUCAGCGCUAUUUGACAACGGAACGAAAGGUAGAUCGUGGGAAAUGGAAGAAUCACACGAGCAAGCAAAGAGCUGAUGCUGUUUGUAUCAGAGUUUUGAGUGCUCACUCGUGAACGACGAAGUGAACGAUUUCAGGAAUUGCGUUCUUGAAAUCGCGCGUGCUCUGCUUGGAUACAGGAUCGAGGAGGCGAGUGACGGUUCGUGCGUGGUGGCAACACCGGUCAUGAACUCGAGCGACCCAACUUUGUAGUCAAGCGAGCGAUAGCAUGUGGAGGAUGCCUGGGCACACAGAGGCGAUGAAGGCCGUGGUAAGCUGCGAUAAGCCAAGGGGAGCGGCACACACGCACUGAUCCUUGGAUGGCCGAAUGGGGAAACCCGG
This 1023-nucleotide small RNA is filed under the name uncultured Gemmatimonas sp. RNAcentral describes it as "bacterial SSU rRNA". The stretch from base 1 to 492 matches the Rfam family "Bacterial small subunit ribosomal RNA", at positions 1045 to 1533 of the family's 1533-position model. The record is from RNAcentral. Lineage: Bacteria; Pseudomonadati; Gemmatimonadota; Gemmatimonadia; Gemmatimonadales; Gemmatimonadaceae.